Molecule: long non-coding RNA, 1891 nt
Organism: Capra hircus (goat)
Lineage: Eukaryota; Metazoa; Chordata; Mammalia; Artiodactyla; Bovidae
Source: Ensembl
CCAGAGUGAAAGCAUGAGGUCCUUGUUCACAUGAAUUCCUCUGAAUGCUGGGGAAGUGAGCACCCUUUCACAGCGGUUCUGAAUUUCUUCUUUGUGCCAAAUCUCAGAUCCUGCCCCCAAACCAAUCUUCUUGUGCAUCUGUGUCCUUCGUUUUGCUCCCCAGGAAGCCUGGAGCACAGGGUGAUAGGACUAGUUCCAUCUAGAGUGCUAUUGACCGGAGCCCCAGGACUCAGGUUCAAGGGCGAUGCAGCAACAGGCUGGGUGAUUCUCCCAGCAGCUCUGGGAGGGAGAGGGUGAGUACCCACAGUUGGAAACAGCUCCACUGAAGUACAUGUCACCCGCUGUAGAGUUCACUCUUUUAAAGUCUGCGGGCCAGUGUUGUUCUGUCUAGUCACCGAAUUCUACAUCCACUGCUAAUACCUCAUUCAUACCCAGAAGGAGAUUGUGGAUCCACUGGAAUGGCAGCCACUCCAUGUCCCUGCAUGUAAAUUGUUCCCAUGGAUUGCAGGCUGCUCCAGCUGAAUCGGCUCAAAGCAGGGGGCUUGCAGCACUGAGGUGGGUUUGUCAGAGGGUGUUUGAAGGUGUUUCCUUGCAGGAGAGCUUCUCCAGGGUGACCUCAGUCCUGUUUCUGGGGUUGAAGACAGUGGUUGGGUCAUUGGGUCGUUGACUCACUUUACAGUUGUGAGAGGAGAGAAGGGUCAGUACUCAGACUGCCCAGCAUCCUUCUACUGAACCUUAGACUUUUCCUCCCAAAUAGCUGCUGUGAUGCCCAGUGAUGUCCCUGCUGCCACUGGUAUGCUGGGUCAUAUUGUUGUCCUGAGGGCAGCCAGCCCUUCAAGACUGAGAGAGGGUACUUUUUUUUUUUUUUUUUUUUUAGCCAAAGCAGAUUAUUUUUGCUGCGUGUGAAUCAUCUGAGGAGUGAGAAUAGCAGACCAGGCAAGACAUGUCCAUAAAAGGCAUUUCCCGAGCACCCUCUGUGCAUGUGUUUGGUUUGCUGUGGCUGUGCCGGGCAUCUCCUAUGCCAGGAAUUUGACCUUCUGGACCUUCAUUGCACACCUAGCACGUGCUGGGUGUUCAGUGACUAAGGCCCCAUCUCUGUCUUUUUUUUUUUUUUUUUCGGGCUGCACCAUAUGGGAUCCACACCCCCAGGCUUGGAAGCGUGGAGUCUUAACCACUGAACUGUGGGGGAAGUCCCUCGUCUCUGUCUUCAAGAAGUGUUGUCUUUGGUUUGGCGAAAACAUCUGUGGACCACCACAUUCCUGCAAGGUGGACUGUGAUAAAGAAGUCCUGAGCCGCUGAUCAAGUUGACAGGCACACCUCAUGAACUUGGACUGUCCCUGCCCUUUCUCUCCUGCCCAGCAAGAUGAUCAUUCAUUCACUGUUUAACACUGGGAUGUCUUGAGAGUAAACGAGACCGAGAAUGUGCCAGCCCUGGAUGUGCUGGUAGCUCUUAACAUUUUAGGGUCAGAGAUCCCUUUAAAGAGCUGAUGAAAGCUUUGGACUUUCACCUCAGAAAAAUUGCUCUGGGGCGCACACCCGUGUGACUCUGCAGACAAUUUCAAUUUCAUGGUUUUUAUGGACAUCCUGAAACCCAUCCAUGGACCCCCGAGGGGCUGGAGGGUAAUAACACCUGUUUUAGAGCUUAUCUCAUGCAGGGUGUUUUUAAAAUCCCAGAUGGUAAUUCAUAUUACUGUUAUUAAGAAUACUGUUUCUCAGUUAUUUCUAUGUCAGAAUCCUUUCUCAUUAAUAGUAUCAUUUUCCAAAGGUUCCUUGUGAUGUGGUAUUAUUUAGAUUCUUGAGCCUCAAGAAUAAAGCAAAAGCAGGAUAAUCUGAUAAACUAAAUUUUUUUUUGUCCUGGUAUACAUGUAUAAAAUAAAGUAAACAGUGACCU